UACAGAGGGUGCGAGCGUUAAUCGGAAUUACUGGGCGUAAAGCGUGCGUAGACGGUAGCGUAAGUCGGAUGUGAAAGCCCCGGGCUCAACCUGGGAAUUGCAUUCGAGACUGCGCUGCUAGGGUGCGGAAGAGGGAAGCGGAAUUUCCGGUGUAGCGGUGAAAUGCGUAGAUAUCGGAAGGAACAUCAGUGGCGAAAGCGGCUUCCUGGUCCAGCACCGACGUUCAGGCACGAAAGCGUGGGGAGCAAACAGG
RNAcentral lists this ribosomal RNA (253 nucleotides) under uncultured bacterium. RNAcentral describes it as "partial 16S ribosomal RNA". It matches the Rfam family "Bacterial small subunit ribosomal RNA", at positions 524 to 776 of the family's 1533-position model. The record is from RNAcentral.